CCAAUAGCGUAUAUUAAAGUUGUUGCAGUUAAAAAGCUCGUAGUUGAAUUUCGGGGUCAGUAGAUUGGUCAUGCCACUGGUAUGUACUGGUCUCACUGAUUCCUCCUUCCUGAUGAGCCGUAAUGCCAUUAAUUUGGUGUUGCGAGGAAUCUGGACUGUUACUUUGAAAAAAUUAGAGUGUUUAAAGCAGGCUAACGCUUGAAUACAUUAGCAUGGAAUAAUGAAAUAGGACGUUCGAUCUUAUUUUGUUGGUUUCUAAGAUUGACGUAAUGAUUAAUAGGGAUAGUUGGGGGCAUUAGUAUUCAAUUGUCAGAGGUGAAAUUCUUGGAGUUAUUGAAGACUAACUACUGCGAAAGCAUUUGCCAAGGAUGUUUUCAUUAAUCAAGAACGAAAGUUAGGAGAUCGACGACGAUCAGAUACCGUCGUAGUCUUAACCAUAAACUAUGCCGACUAGGGGUCGGAUGAUGUUGAUUUUUUAAUGACUCAUUCGGCACCUUACG
RNAcentral lists this ribosomal RNA (500 nucleotides) under uncultured Glomeromycotina. Its description in RNAcentral is "partial small subunit ribosomal RNA". It matches the Rfam family "Eukaryotic small subunit ribosomal RNA", at positions 591 to 1092 of the family's 1831-position model. The record is from RNAcentral. Lineage: Eukaryota; Fungi; Glomeromycota.